UACAGAGGGUGCGAGCGUUGUCCGGAAUCACUGGGCGUAAAGGGCGCGUAGGUGGUGGCUUAAGCGUGCGGUGAAAGCUCGGGGCUCAACCCCGAGUCGGCCGUGCGAACUGGGCUCACUGGAGCAUAGUAGAGGCAGGUGGAAUUCCGGGUGUAGCGGUGGAAUGCGUAGAGAUCCGGAAGAACACCGGUGGCGAAGGCGGUUCUCUGGGCCUUACCUGACACUGAGGAGCGAAAGCGUGGGGAGCGGAAACGAGGAUUAGG
RNAcentral lists this ribosomal RNA (263 nucleotides) under uncultured bacterium. Its description in RNAcentral is "partial 16S ribosomal RNA". It matches the Rfam family "Bacterial small subunit ribosomal RNA", at positions 524 to 782 of the family's 1533-position model. The record is from RNAcentral.